Molecule: ribosomal RNA, 598 nt
Filed under: Crenosoma striatum
Lineage: Eukaryota; Metazoa; Nematoda; Chromadorea; Rhabditida; Crenosomatidae
Description: eukaryotic LSU rRNA
Rfam family: Eukaryotic large subunit ribosomal RNA
Source: RNAcentral
GACGUGAAAUCGUUGAAGUGGAACCGGAGAGAGUUGACGUAGUAUGGUGGAUAAGUAUUGCAAGAAUCGCUUCAAACAAUGAAUGUGAUCGAGUAAUAUGUACGUCACCAAAGACUGCGCUGACAGCAUCGACUACACGCUCUGAACUGUGUUGACAUGUUGCCUAUUCUAGUAUAUAGAAUGGUGUCUUGUGUUACGUGGUGAAGUUUGUUGUUAUGUUGUUGAUGUUGAUAAGUAUGAUUAUACACCAAGUAUAAUUAUGUCAGUGUAAAAGUCAACCACCUCUCCGACCCGUCUUGAAACACGGACCGAGGAGUGUAACUUGUACGCGAGUCAUUGGGUGGAAAAACCUUAAGGCGAAACGAAAGUGAAGGCACGGUUAACCGGCUGACAUGGGAAACGUGCGGUAUUGUUAGCGAGACGUUACACCAUGGCCCUGUCUUGUCUGCAUGCAGAUGGGCAGCGGUAGAGCGUACAGGUUGCGACCCGAAAGAUGGUGAACUAUGCCUGAGCAGGACGAAGUCAGAGGAAACUCUGGUGGAAGUCCGUAUCGGUUCUGACGUGCAAAUCGAUCGAUAGACUUGGGUAUAGGGGCGAA